RNAcentral lists this ribosomal RNA (459 nucleotides) under uncultured bacterium. RNAcentral's name for it is "bacterial SSU rRNA". It matches the Rfam family "Bacterial small subunit ribosomal RNA", at positions 32 to 465 of the family's 1533-position model. The record is from RNAcentral.
AAACGCUGGCGGCGUGCUUAACACAUGCAAGUCGAACGGUAACAGGCAGAAAGCUUGCUUUUUGUGCUGACGAGUGGCAGACGGGUGAGUAACGCGUGGGCAACCUACCUUUAAGUGGGGGACAACCAGCCGAAAGGCUGGCUAAUACCGCAUGAUAUGACGUUGACUUCGGUCGAUGUGAUCAAAGCCUGGGAUCUUCGGACCAGGUGCUUGAAGAGGGGCUCGCGUCAGAUUAGCUAGUUGGUGGGGUAAGGGCUCACCAAGGCGACGAUCUGUAGCCGGCCUGAGAGGGUGAUCGGCCACACUGGAACUGAGACACGGUCCAGACUCCUACGGGAGGCAGCAGUGGGGAAUUUUGCGCAAUGGGGGAAACCCUGACGCAGCAACGCCGCGUGCGGGAUGACGCUUUUAGGAGUGUAAACCGCUGUUAGUAGGGACGAAUAAGAUAGUUUUGAAUAA